GCACUAAACAUAUAAUCUCACAACCUGCACCUUUCUUACAUUCUGAGACCCAAACAAAUUCAGCGCCUUCUGUGCUUUGAUUAGUUUUAAAGAUUCUUACCAUGUGUCUUGUGCAAAAUGUUUCAACAUGUUAACAUUCAUUUUCUAAUUAAACUAUAAAAAAAUUAUACUAUAAACGACAAUUUGGUAUAAAUCGGUUCCUACAUGUAAAUGAGUACUAGGAAAGGACAGUGUUCUAAAGCAAGUCAGCCACAAGAUUUUAUGACAUAUUUUUGCACUCAAUUAAAAAAAAUAUUGAUUCUUAUUAAGAUGAUUCCGAAAUUGUUUUCCAAGGACUUACAGUUGUAAUUUCUAUACUGAAAAACUUCUUAAGAUUCAGUAAACAGUAUGGGUGAUGCACUGAUCUCACUUAUUUAAUACAAAUAGCUCUACCAUACCCAUUCUGUUUAAAAAAUCAGUUUUAAUAACCAGUCAGAAAUGGAGCACUUCCAUUGGCUACAUUCAAAUUUUUGUAAAUAGAAUCGACCAAUCAUGUGCCAGCCCUUUUCAGACUGGUUUUCAAAAUGUUAUAAUAUUAUUCAGUUCAUUGUUACAUUCCUUUUGUGUAUUUUUUUUCACUUUUGUACAUUUUUUAGUCAGUUUGUGUUACUAUACAUGUAUAAUGUAUAUUAAUAUUUGAUAUUGUUGACUUUGUAAUGAAUCAUUCCUUUAAAGCCUUGUAUAUCAUUUUGCAUAUGCAAAAUCAUUUGUUUUACUGUUAAUUAUUACAUAAUGUGCUAUCAUUUUUAUAUUAAUAUCAUAUUCUGUCUGAGUUAAGUUUUUGUCCAUUCAUCUUUAAAAUUGUUACAUAAGGUUUCUUUGCUUAAUUUUUGUGAACACCAGUGUUAUAAAGAGUUUUGAGAGUUUCAGGUUACAGAUACCUUGUUGGAUUAGUCUGUAACCUACUUGCCUGAAUGGACUGGUCCAGUAACCAAUUUUUGGAACUGUCCAUUAUCAAUUUUUGGGGAUAUCGAUAUGGAAAGUUAAAGGUUCGUUCAUCAUCAGUAUAAAGACUGGUUGGCUUGGCUCAUGAUACUGAUGAUAAGAGCGGGUCACUUUUAGUUCCAUCAGGUUAAUAAGUGUCAGAGACAUAGAUAACAUUUCAUCUACAUCUCUGAUAGUGUGACACUGCUAAUUUUGAUAGUUGUAGACUUUAUGACUAGAAGGGAAGGAAUUUUAGAUUCACCUAUUGUUUUAACACAUAGAUGGCAUGUAAAUAUCAUUUACAUAUAUUACCUGUUAAUUUGACUGAAAAGUGCAAUAAUUCAUUUCUUAUUAUUACAUAUACUUUCAUUAUUUAGUACUUAUCAUAUGCAGUGUCGUGGUCCAGUUUAGACACAUGACUUGUUCCGACUCAUUCAAUGUUGUUGUUCUAAAACAGCCAAUUUGUAAGAAAAUGAGCUGUCAAAAGAUGACGCACCUUGCAUUAUAUUAUCUACAAAAUAUUUAAAUGUCAGAAAUAUUUCAAUGAAAACGGCAUUGAAGAAACCGGAACUGGUCCUGAACCGGAACGGAUUACUUGACUGUAUAUAUUCAUCAUUGCAUAUAUACAAGGUCAUCGAAAAGAAUAUACUUAUUCUCUGUAAUCUGGAUAGUAUGAAAUUGAUUUAGAAAAAAAAAUCUGUGCAUUUUUUUAUUGAGUUAGAAUUUAAUUAAACAAGAAUAAUUUCAGGUAUAACAUUGAAUUUUAUGUCACAAUUCAAAAAUGCUAUUCGUGAAUUUUUUUAUUUUGUUUGGAGUUUUAUAUAUUUUUUAUUUUUGGUUGUCGGAAACUUGAGAAUAAACCAUUGAAUUUUUAUAGGCACAUUCAUUUUUGUAGCAAAUUUUGUAUACAAGUCAUUAAUAAAAUGAUUUUCUGUUUAUAUUAAUUUGAUAUUUAUAUAUUUCUUUUGUGAUUAAUUUUACAUGUAAUUGAUGAAAGUAGGUUGUUAUGUAAAUUUUUGUCUAGCAUUCAUUAUUCCACCACCAAAGCAAACUAUAGAUGGGUGGGGUAAUUUUACUGUUUUUAAUAUUUGUACUUGUGUUUGUUACAAAACUUUUAUAUUUCUCAUAUUAUUGCAAUGUUUAUAAUUUUGUAUUUGUCCUGUCCCUUUUUAGGUUCAAAGAUUGUAAAAUUGGGUUAAUUGUCCUACUAUCUUACAUAAGUUUUGAAACAAAGCAUUUGAUUGGUUGCUAAAUAUAGCACAAACAAAAACUGUGAAAAAUUGUCUCAUUGGUUAUAUUAAAAACAUUUAUUUUAAAAAAGAAAAGAAAGUGAACCAGGGGUCACACUGGCAUGAAGUAUUUUGGGAUCUACUUUUAGUUCAAAAACAACUUGAAAUAACUAGAAAAGCAAAAUAAUCAUUUAUAAGUUUUUUAAUUGCAACAAAAAAUUUAGAUUAUCUAAGUUAAAAUAUGAAAAAAAUCCACAGUUUUAAAAAAAGUUGUAUUUGACACCUAUAUGUUUCCAUGCAGGUGGGAAAUGCUAUUCCUGUGUACCUAGGAUUUAUAUUAGACCAGUUUUAUAAUCUCUAAUCCUAAAUUUUUCAUUUUAUAUAUUACAUGUAGGGUUUCAUGAAGUAACACCAUUGUUGCGACAAACUCUUUAAGUUUUGUACUUUUAACUCAUAGAACUUUGUCAUGUAUUUGACAAAAACUGCUGUAUGUGAAGAUGAAAAUGAUUGAAAUAAAUAAACUGAUUUAUUUUACAAAAGAA
Molecule: long non-coding RNA, 2734 nt
Organism: Ruditapes philippinarum (Manila clam)
Lineage: Eukaryota; Metazoa; Mollusca; Bivalvia; Venerida; Veneridae
Exons: 2
Source: RefSeq, a predicted model, not a curated record